GUACGCACACAAAACUGUUCGAUCAAAUGUCUCAAUGCUCUGCAAGCUUACUUCUUUGACCUUUUGCAUAAGAAGAAAAUAAUAGUUUCCAAUGUUCUUCCUAAAUUGGAUUACAAUGAUGGCCUUGCUGACAGCAGUGCGCCCAAUUUGAGACCUCUGCUUGGCAACUAGACAUGUCUUUUGUUUUAAAAAAAUUACUGUGAUGUCAAGUAAUGUGGUGGUUGCUUCUUGCAUGAUCUUUGUUUUUCAAAUGUAAGAGAACAAUAUGUAUAACUGGGUAUAUGCAACAAGUUAUUUGUUGAUACUCUGUAGUCCAUGAAUUAACAUAUGGUAAAGGGGAAAGUCAACCUUUGGUAAGAAUGUCACAAUAGAUAUGACGGACAACGCUAAAAUUGUUUGAUUAAUGCUUUUUGUCAAUUCAGUUUCUUCCAUUGUAUUUAUUUCAAUUGAAAUCAUGUUCUUUUGCUCUAUAAUAUGGUAUUUGAUUGUGCUCGAAGCAUUGAUCCCUCCUUUACCUUGCCAUGGGCUAGAACCUCAGCGGAUAACUACCAUCAAUCUGGGGGCAUUCCAAUAAAUGAAUCUUUUGAAACCUGCUUAAGGGCUGUUCAGAUCCUGCCUGCUGGUCUUGCAACUGAUGCAGUGCGAGAGUGUGAAGAGCUGAGAACUCAAGGUAUUGUUUUUAUUUGUUGGAAGAAUUCCAUUCUCUUAGCUCACCAAGGUUGGCCAGAUAACAGAAGCGGUUUAUCUAUCCGAUAUUUUCCUAGUGCUAUAAAAUAUGUUACCAAUAAUCAGACGUACUACAACAGCCGGGCCAGAGAAGCAGACAUUAUCAUCUGUUCUUGAUAUUCUAUUUUGUACAACAGUUUCUGCUGAAACAAUAAUUGAAUGCAAAAGCAAGUGAAACAUGGAAAUUUUACAUAUGCG
Molecule: long non-coding RNA, 924 nt
Organism: Panicum virgatum (switchgrass)
Lineage: Eukaryota; Viridiplantae; Streptophyta; Magnoliopsida; Poales; Poaceae
Exons: 3
Source: RefSeq, a predicted model, not a curated record